UGACUUUCUGAACAAUUCAGUUAAAUCCAGGAGUUCUUUAGAUUGGAUGCUCUGCUGAGUGUUACUAUUCAUUCACAAACAAAGGGUAUUUAGAUAUGAAUGAGGGUGCUACUCUCCUUCACUCUAUUCAGGAGAAUUAAACAAGAACAAGAACAGAGACAAAGAUGAUUUAACUGAUCAAGAGUACAAAGUUCGAGGCUGGGCACUGGUCGUUCAUGCUUGUAAUCCCAGCACUUAAGGAGGCAGAGGUGAGAGAAUAGCUUGAGCCCAGGAGUUCAAGACCAGGCUGGGCAACAUAGCAAGACAAAAAGGAAAAAAAAAAGGAGGGCAAAGUUUGAAAGUAUAGGUCAGAUUGGCUUUGUUGCUCUCCUUCUAAUGAAAGCUUUCAGCCCUAGAACAUGUCAGAUAGCUUUUUGGGAAUUGUCUUUUGUAGUGUUUUUUGUUGUCUUUCUGGUUUCUAAAAAUGAGAAUGGUUUUUCUGAUAUCAGAGUAACCCAUAAAGGUGUGAAUAAAGUGAAGAUCAUUCAUAUACUUACCAGUCAGUAAUAACCACUGGGAA
This 559-nucleotide long non-coding RNA is filed under the name Homo sapiens (human). Its description in RNAcentral is "long non-coding RNA NONHSAT232396". Lineage: Eukaryota; Metazoa; Chordata; Mammalia; Primates; Hominidae. The record is from RNAcentral.